RNAcentral lists this ribosomal RNA (496 nucleotides) under uncultured bacterium. RNAcentral describes it as "partial 16S ribosomal RNA". It matches the Rfam family "Bacterial small subunit ribosomal RNA", at positions 28 to 507 of the family's 1533-position model. The record is from RNAcentral.
GAUGAACGCUGGCGGCGUGCCUAAUACAUGCAAGUCGAGCGAACGGACGAGAAGCUUGCUUCUCUGAUGUUAGCGGCGGACGGGUGAGUAACACGUGGAUAACCUACCUAUAAGACUGGGAUAACUUCGGGAAACCGGAGCUAAUACCGGAUGAUAUUUUGAACCGCAUGGUUCAAAAGUGAAAGACGGUCUUGCUGUCACUUAUAGAUGGAUCCGCGCUGCAUUAGCUAGUUGGUAAGGUAACGGCUUACCAAGGCAACGAUGCAUAGCCGACCUGAGAGGGUGAUCGGCCACACUGGAACUGAGACACGGUCCAGACUCCUACGGGAGGCAGCAGUAGGGAAUCUUCGCAAUGGGCGAAAGCCUGACGGAGCAACGCCGCGUGAGUGAUGAAGGUCUUCGGAUCGUAAAACUCUGUUAUUAGGGAAGAACAUAUGUGUAAGUAACUGUGCACAUCUUGACGGUACCUAAUCAGAAAGCCACGGCUAACUACGUG